RNAcentral lists this transfer RNA (73 nucleotides) under Calotes chincollium. Its description in RNAcentral is "tRNA-Asn". Lineage: Eukaryota; Metazoa; Chordata; Lepidosauria; Squamata; Agamidae. The record is from RNAcentral.
UGGAUUAAUGCCCUCUGGAUUGGGCAUUCAGCUGUUAACUGUUUGUUUGUGGGAUCGAGGCCCACUAAUCCUG